This 108-nucleotide microRNA precursor is filed under the name Canis lupus familiaris (dog). RNAcentral's name for it is "mir-8834 microRNA precursor family". It matches the Rfam family "mir-8834 microRNA precursor family". Lineage: Eukaryota; Metazoa; Chordata; Mammalia; Carnivora; Canidae. The record is from Rfam by way of RNAcentral. RNAcentral also lists the same sequence under 1 other name.
AAGAGGAACAGCCCCACUGGCAGCGGCCAGCUCUCUAGGACUGGAGUCAGCUCCCGCAGUAACUACCACAGCUCGCAGUCUGCACUGGCCUGGAUGCUCCCAGGGUUG